CAGAUUUCAUUUGAUCGUACUACUUGUCAGUCAAGUUAUGGACAAGUUAUGGAUAAUAUGUCUACGGAUUUACUGAAUCAAUGAUAAAAGGAUACACGUUCGAAGAAAUUGUUAUAGGGUCCAAGACCAUCCGGCUAAGCAGGUAGCCGUUUACAAGGUUGUUUGCAGAUCCAGCAAAAUUUUGCCAAGAAAAGAGCUCUACCGAGAAGGACAUGUCUCCAUCUCUGACUGGUGAAGCCAUGUGAAAUGGUUCAGUAACUCAUUUAGCUCAUGACCACCCGACGGAUAAGAACUCAGCAGCUCGUGUCACUAACUUCUAUCUGUUAUCCUUCAAAUCAGUGACUGUAUGUUUUCAUUAGGCCCAAGUUAACCUUGUACAGUUUUGAACCAAAGGUAGGUUUCGUUUGGUAGACCUGUUUAAUUACAGGUAUACUGAGAUCCAUUGCCUAUAUAUCUAUGGAAGUACACUGACAUUGAAAUUAUUCCUUG
Zea mays is the source of this 489-nucleotide long non-coding RNA. RefSeq lists it as uncharacterized. The transcript is spliced from 3 exons. NCBI's taxonomy places the organism in Eukaryota, Viridiplantae, Streptophyta, Magnoliopsida, Poales, Poaceae. The record is from RefSeq and is a predicted model, not a curated record.